RNAcentral lists this long non-coding RNA (656 nucleotides) under Homo sapiens (human). RNAcentral's name for it is "PREDICTED lncRNA (TCONS_00244736)". Lineage: Eukaryota; Metazoa; Chordata; Mammalia; Primates; Hominidae. The record is from RNAcentral.
UCCCCCUAUCCCUUUUCCAUAUCUCCCAAUUCUGAUCAUGUUGCCAUUACAGGGGCCAGUGUCAUUCAAAGAUGUGGCUGUGGAUUUCACCCAGGAGGAGUGGCGGCAACUGGACCCUGAUGAGAAGAUAACAUACGGGGAUGUGAUGUUGGAGAACUACAGCCAUCUAGUUUCCUUGGGUGAGGAUAGCUUGCUUUCUGAAUGCUCUCAGUUGAAUGGGGUUUUAUGCUUGAGUUUGAAGAAAUAAGUGACAACACCACUUAAUUCCUUGUGGGCACUAGCUGCAGUGUUUAUAUUAUUCUUCAUUGAAAGGUUCUAUCUUUGAUAAGGUAAAAAAUGGAGCAUUUCUGUUAUGCAGCUUAUGAGGUGGCAACAUCUUGUACUUCAGAGAUUCUGAAGCCGAGCAACUUGCCCAAGUCCUUCUUCUUUUCCCAUUAACAAGAUAUGAUAUCACCAAGCCAAACGUCAUCAUUAAGUUGGAGCAGGGAGAGGAGCUGUGGAUAACGGGAGGUGAAUUUCCAUGUCAACAUAGUCCAGCAUUUAUUUGAAAGACAAACCUCUUGGAUGUGACUCUGGAGACAAGACCAGCAGCUCGAGACCAUUCAAUCCAAGGUAUAAAAUGGAGGAAAAUCAGCUCCAUCAUGGUCUGAAUUGAG